CAUGGGUGAUAAGGUCCGUGUUCGAAAGGGAAACAGCCCAGACCACCAGCUAAGGUCCCAAAAUAUAUGUUAAGUGGAAAAGGAUGUGGCGUUGCCCAGACAACUAGGAUGUUGGCUUAGAAGCAGCCAUCAUUUAAAGAGUGCGUAAUAGCUCACUAGUCGAGUGACACUGCGCCGAAAAUGUACCGGGGCUAAACAUAUUACCGAAGCUGUGGAUUGUCCUUUGGACAAUGGUAGGAGAGCGUUCUAAGGGCGUUGAAGCAUGAUCGUAAGGACAUGUGGAGCGCUUAGAAGUGAGAAUGCCGGUGUGAGUAGCGAAAGACGGGUGAGAAUCCCGUCCACCGAUUGACUAAGGUUUCCAGAGGAAGGCUCGUCCGCUCUGGGUUAGUCGGGUCCUAAGCUGAGGCCGACAGGCGUAGGCGAUGGAUAACAGGUUGAUAUUCCUGUACCACCUAUAAUCGUUUUAAUCGAUGGGGGGACGCAGUAGGAUAGGCGAAGCGUGCGAUUGGAUUGCACGUCUAAGCAGUAAGGCUGAGUAUUAGGCAAAUCCGGUACUCGUUAAGGCUGAGC
RNAcentral lists this ribosomal RNA (570 nucleotides) under Staphylococcus aureus. RNAcentral's name for it is "partial 23S ribosomal RNA". It matches the Rfam family "Bacterial large subunit ribosomal RNA", at positions 990 to 1561 of the family's 2925-position model. The record is from RNAcentral. Lineage: Bacteria; Bacillati; Bacillota; Bacilli; Caryophanales; Staphylococcaceae.